Molecule: small nuclear RNA, 107 nt
Organism: Mesocricetus auratus (golden hamster)
Lineage: Eukaryota; Metazoa; Chordata; Mammalia; Rodentia; Cricetidae
Source: Ensembl
CUUCUAGAUUCCGCAGCACAUAUGCUAAAAUUGGCAUGAUACAGAGAAGAUUACUCUGGCCCCUUCAAAAGGAUGACAUGCAAACUUAUGAAGUGUGUCAUAUUUUU